GCAGCUCUGUUUACCAGGAAGCCACGAAUCAGCCAGGCCACCUCAGACUUUUUGUGACAAGGAUCAUGCAGGAGUUUGAAAGUGACACAUUUUUCCCAGAAGUUGAUUUGGAGUAAUAUAAACUUCUCCCAGAAUACCCAGGUGUCCUCUCUGAGAUCCAGGAGGAAAAAGGCAUCAAGUACAAGUUUGAAGCCUAUGAAAAGAAAGACAAUGGGAAGAUGUUUCCAAGUCCUACUGUUUCUCCUAAAAGGAUGCAUUUUAUAAGACCACAGGACUUCUGCUGGCUUGCGAUCUAUGAGUAAUUAUUUCUUUAGGGAGGGGUGGUUGGGAAGACACAUUUGUUUUGUGUUGUGGAGAUGGAACCUAAGGCCCUGUGCAUGCUGGGCCAAUGCUGUACUGCUAAGCCACCCCCAACCCCAGCCCGUAUAUAAUUCUAAUCAAUGUUUUUAUUUCCCAUUAAUCUAACUAGAUUAUAUUAAAUAUGCCUUAAGAAAU
This 495-nucleotide long non-coding RNA is filed under the name Rattus norvegicus (Norway rat). Its description in RNAcentral is "long non-coding RNA NONRATT021079". The record is from RNAcentral. Lineage: Eukaryota; Metazoa; Chordata; Mammalia; Rodentia; Muridae.